GACAGCCGGCGGGGAGCGGUUUUACGGGAGGAAGUGCGUGGUGACCGUCGGAGCAUGGACUAGGAAGAUGGUGGAGGAGGUAACUGGCAGAGCAUUGCCUAUACAGCCGCUGCAUACUACUGUGUGUUACUGGCGGAUUAAAGAGGGGUAUGAACAUGCAUUCUCGGUGGAGGGCGGAUUCCCUACGUUUGCAAUCUAUGGAGAUCCAUACUUCUACGGUACACCGUCGAUGGAGUUUCCCGGAUUGAUCAAGAUUGCGCUGCACGGUGGGGAGCCCUGU
This 280-nucleotide unclassified non-coding RNA is filed under the name Hevea brasiliensis (rubber tree). The record is from RNAcentral. Lineage: Eukaryota; Viridiplantae; Streptophyta; Magnoliopsida; Malpighiales; Euphorbiaceae.